RNAcentral lists this ribosomal RNA (500 nucleotides) under uncultured bacterium. Its description in RNAcentral is "partial 16S ribosomal RNA". It matches the Rfam family "Bacterial small subunit ribosomal RNA", at positions 30 to 523 of the family's 1533-position model. The record is from RNAcentral.
AUUGAACGCUGGCGGAAUGCUUUACACAUGCAAGUCGAACGGCAGCACGGACUUCGGUCUGGUGGCGAGUGGCGAACGGGUGAGUAAUGUAUCGGAACGUGCCCAGUCGUGGGGGAUAACGUAGUGAAAAUUACGCUAAUACCGCAUACGAUCUAUGGAUGAAAGCGGGGGAUCGCAAGACCUCGCGCGAUUGGAGCGGCCGAUAUCAGAUUAGGUAGUUGGUGGGGUAAAGGCCCACCAAGCCAACGAUCUGUAGCUGGUCUGAGAGGACGACCAGCCACACGGGAACUGAGACACGGUCCAGACUCCUACGGGAGGCAGCAGUGGGGAAUUUUGGACAAUGGGCGAAAGCCUGAUCCAGCCAUUCCGCGUGCAGGAUGAAGGCCCUAGGGUUGUAAACUGCUUUUGUACAGAACGAAAAGGUUUCUACUAAUACUAGGAGCUCAUGACGGUACUGUAAGAAUAAGCACCGGCUAACUACGUGCCAACCGCCGCUGUAA